RNAcentral lists this ribosomal RNA (431 nucleotides) under uncultured bacterium. Its description in RNAcentral is "bacterial SSU rRNA". It matches the Rfam family "Bacterial small subunit ribosomal RNA", at positions 30 to 506 of the family's 1533-position model. The record is from RNAcentral.
UCGAACGCUGGCGGUGUGUCUAAGGCAUGCAAGUCGAACGAACCCUUCGGGGUUAGUGGCGCACGGGUGCGUAACGCGUGGGAAUCUGCCCUUUGCUUCGGAAUAACUCAGGGAAACUUGUGCUAAUACCGGAUGAUGUCUUCGGACCAAAGAUUUAUCGGCAAGGGAUGAGCCCGCGUAGGAUUAGGUAGUUGGUGGGGUAAAGGCCUACCAAGCCGACGAUCCUUAGCUGGUCUGAGAGGAUGAUCAGCCACACUGGGACUGAGACACGGCCCAGACUCCUACGGGAGGCAGCAGUGGGGAAUAUUGGACAAUGGGCGAAAGCCUGAUCCAGCAAUGCCGCGUGAGUGAUGAAGGCCCUCGGGUCGUAAAGCUCUUUUACCAGGGAUGAUAAUGACAGUACCUGGAGAAUAAGCUCCGGCUAACUCCGU